This 633-nucleotide small RNA is filed under the name Pan troglodytes (chimpanzee). Its description in RNAcentral is "processed transcript". The record is from RNAcentral. Lineage: Eukaryota; Metazoa; Chordata; Mammalia; Primates; Hominidae.
UCCAGUGGCAGAAAGUGGGGAGAUGAUGCUCCCAAGGAAGAAGUAGAUACCGGGGCUGUGAACUUGAUUGAGUCAGGAGCUUGUGGAGCUUUUGUUCAUGGGUUGGAAGAUGAGAUGUAUGAGGUUCGUAUUGCUGCUGUGGAGGCCCUCUGCAUGUUGGCCCAGUCUUCACCCUCUUUUGCUGAGAAGUGCCUUGAUUUCCUAGUUGACAUGUUCAACGAUGAAAUUGAGGAAGUACGUCUGCAGUCCAUACAUACCAUGAGAAAAAUCUCUAACAACAUCACCCUCCGAGAAGAUCAGCUUGACACUGUCCUGGCUGUGCUAGAGGAUUCAUCCAGAGAUAUUCGAGAGGCUCUUCAUGAACUCUUAUGCUGUACUAAUGUUUCAACCAAAGAAGGGAUUCAUCUUGCAUUGGUGGAGCUGCUGAAAAAUUUAACCAAGUACCCUACUGAUAGGGACUCCAUAUGGAAGUAAUGACUUUUUUGCCCAUUUACUCACUGAGUCCCAUAAUGUGGUGCUUGAAGUUUCUGGGAAGUCGGCAUCCAACCCUGGUGCUUCCCUUGGUGCCAGAGCUUCUGAGCACCCACCCAUUUUUUGACACAGCUGAACCAGACAUGGAUGAUCCAGCUUGUA